CCUCCUUCAUGAGCAGGGGUCACCGUCCUGUUUAUUUCUUUCCUCCUCAGGGCCCAACACUGUGGCUACCACAGGGAGAUAGAUGUCCAACCCUGUAGUGGAUCGAACCUUGGAUUCUCCUGUUUGGCCCUGUCUGCCCUGGUACGCCCAAUGUGGGGAAGGCAGAGGUGGAAUCAGACAGGGGUUCUGCUCUCACCGCUCACAGUCCUGCCCCAGAUGUAACCACAGCAUGUCACGGCAGGCCGGGAUAGCAGAGCCAGCCUCCUGCGUAUGACACUUCUGGGUGGGACAGAACCUCCUGGAGAUAGACUUUUGUGGGCUGACAGGCAGCACCCAGGAAGGUACCUGCUUUCCCCUUGGCGAGGCAACUUCAGACCCGCCAUCCUGAGGUGGGACCUGGCUUCCGCGAGUUCCUCCCUCCUCGGUCUCCCUGACGCUGUGUGUUUGUCCCGUUGGCUGGUGAUGGCCUCUGGUCACAGUGGUCUCCCCCAUGACACUGUGGGCUGCCCCAGAGAGGGACGGACCAGUCUGGUCAUCCUUGGGCCCCCCUGGAACAGCGAGGGACAAGCUGGAUGGAAGGAGGGACAAGUGGACACAGAGAUGAAGAUGGAUGAAUAAGAGGAGGCGUCUAGGGGAUCUAACCUCUCCCUCAACCCCCUUCCCCUGACCAGAUGUGGCCCCCUUCCAGCUCCAAGACAGCGCUCAGCUCAGAACCAUCCAAGGACCCUCUGGGCUUCAGAGCAGUGCAAGCGCUUGGCCUUGACGUUGAAGUUUCCUAACCCAACUCUGGACCGGCUCCCAGCCCUUCCCACUAUCUCAAGCCACCUCACGUUUUCCUGUCUUCCCUCCUUGGAAGGAAGGCAGCAGCCUGGGAGCCUUGUGUGUGCUUUAUACUCUGCGACACAGUAAGUGCUACCUAGUAAGUGCUCAGAAGCUAUUUGCUGCGGAUACAUAGAGAAAGCACUUACUAGGUGGAGUUCCCAGGCUGGGCAGUGCCAGGAAGAGGAUGAGAUACAGCCAGCAAGCUCUGCAGGACAGCUGCCAGACAGCCCAGCCUUAGCCUGCUGUGGUGGGGUGGGGGUGGGGCUCCUGGAGCCUCUGUCCAUCCUACUCUGGUUAAGAGUGGGUGGUUGGCCUCUGUCUCCCCCAGGAGGGCAGCACUGCUUUCCCACUUCCUAGGAGGGCAGCAUGGAGGCUGAAUACCAAGCAGAAUCAGCCAGUGGGGACGGGUGGGGUCAGAGGAACAGCUGGCAUGGACAGAGGCCAGGCAUGGAUGAGGGCCCAGGGCCCUCAGUGAGCAGGGGUGGACAGCUGGGCAGGUUGGCUCCACUCCCCAGCCUGCCAGGACACACUGCACCCUGCAGGGCCUUGGCUGCUGGGUGAGUGAUACAUUCAUGGAUUGGUCGGUCAUUCACUCUGGAAGGUACAGGUCAAGGCAAGUGUGCUCACAGUGGAGUGACGGGGAGCAAGGAAGCAUGAGGAGAAACCGAUACUGGAAACGGUGACAACCACUGAUCAGCACUGGUUUAGCCCCGUGUGCAUUAGCUUGUCGUGGAUCCAGACAAAAAAUGCAAGAGGGUGUGGCAACUUUGGAAGAUGCCACAGGGGAUGCCAUGAAGUACUGGGACCAGCGGCCUUCAGUAAGAGACGAGUACAGAGUUGUCAUUUGGGGAAUUUCCCAUCACAGUCCUUUGAAAGAUUCACGGUUGGAUAAUUUCUAGGUGCAAGAAAACAUGAUCUCAGCCCCACUAUGUUUGAAAAAACUCGAAGAGGUUGGUGAGGUUGCAGAGAUGUGGAUGUUUACCUGGCUCAGAUGGGGUAGUCCAGGUCUUUGUUCUCUCUGGGCCUCAGUGUUCUCAUCUUCAAAACGGGCUGGUGACAGUCAGGCUGCAACAAAGCUGGUGCAUGUUCACUGCCUGGUACAGCCAGGCAUUUAGCCGGUGUGGAAGCACAUAGCUCUGAGGGCCCAGGCUGCUGGUCCUGUGGGCUCUUAGCACAGUGGCCUGCUCUCCCUUUGCUCACUGGGAAACCGGAUGCCCCAGGUGUGCUCAGCCUGCUCUACCAUUCCAGAAAUUGCUCCAUAUCGAAACCCCCGCCAUCCCAACUGACAUCAGGAGCAUCAGUUGGGACUGGAAACCAGACACCUGUUUCCCAGCUGAGGACAGCCAGGUCCCCGGUUUUCAGUGACAAGCCACGUGUCCCUGGCUGCCACAGCCUCCUGCCUGUGCAAAUGUGUGGGAAGGGCAGGGAAGGGCCCGGCUCUUCUGGGCCCCAGGACUCUCCAAGGAGAGGCUGAGAAGGGCACAGACAGAGGCAGGGUGAGGGUGGGCAGGCAGAUUUAUCACAGCCAUGCCUCUCCCCUGCAGCGCCUGCUUCUAAUGAAAUUUUACGGCAGGUGGAAAUGAUACGACUCUGCCAGCCCUAAAAGCACUUCUAUUUAUUCAUUAAAGAUAUUUAUAUACUGAGCAGCUCUCUCCAGGGCCCCACCCGGCCCUGCUGGGCAGUGAGCUGCUCCCAGUCUCCAGUGCUGGGAGAAGCUCCCCACCUCAACACAUCCCCAGUCCUCUUGUCUCCAACCCAUUAUCCUUUCCUGGCCCUCCGUACCAGUGCCCUCUCCUGGGACGAGAGUGCCUCUUCUUGGCUUUCCCUACUUCCUGGCUGGCCUCCGCAGUGCAGCUUUCAUAGAGAAAUUAAAGGCAUCCAUCUUUUCAAAGUCAAAUCUCUUCCUUUAUGUUCUCAAAACUCCCCUGGCUUCUGCCCACUUCUCUGGUCCCAUCUCCCACUAGCCUUUGCCUCUCCUUGGGACCAGUUACUGUAGCCACUUUGGGCUAUUUUCUAGAGAAUGAUGGUGCUCUCUCUGUCCCUGCCUCAGGGCCUUUGCACCUGUGCUUCUGCUUAGAACCCCCUCCUCCCCCAGUUCUUUGGCUCCUUGAGCUUAACUCAGGCUCAAAGUCACCUCAUCAAGCCUGAAGUGGUGGCACAUGCCUAUAACCCCAGCACUCUGGGAGUCUGAGGCAGCACUGAAAG
This is a long non-coding RNA of Fukomys damarensis (Damara mole-rat), 3027 nucleotides long. RefSeq lists it as uncharacterized. The record is from RefSeq and is a predicted model, not a curated record. The transcript is spliced from 5 exons. NCBI's taxonomy places the organism in Eukaryota, Metazoa, Chordata, Mammalia, Rodentia, Bathyergidae.